AUUGAACGCUGGCGGCAGGCCUAACACAUGCAAGUCGAGCGGAUGAAGGGAGCUUGCUCCUGGAUUCAGCGGCGGACGGGUGAGUAAUGCCUAGGAAUCUGCCUGGUAGUGGGGGAUAACGUCCGGAAACGGGCGCUAAUACCGCAUACGUCCUGAGGGAGAAAGUGGGGGAUCUUCGGACCUCACGCUAUCAGAUGAGCCUAGGUCGGAUUAGCUAGUUGGUGGGGUAAAGGCCUACCAAGGCGACGAUCCGUAACUGGUCUGAGAGGAUGAUCAGUCACACUGGAACUGAGACACGGUCCAGACUCCUACGGGAGGCAGCAGUGGGGAAUAUUGGACAAUGGGCGAAAGCCUGAUCCAGCCAUGCCGCGUGUGUGAAGAAGGUCUUCGGAUUGUAAAGCACUUUAAGUUGGGAGGAAGGGCAGUAAGUUAAGACCUUGCUGUUUGGACGUUACCAACAGAAUAAGCACCGGCUAACUUCGU
This 483-nucleotide ribosomal RNA is filed under the name uncultured bacterium. RNAcentral's name for it is "partial 16S ribosomal RNA". It matches the Rfam family "Bacterial small subunit ribosomal RNA", at positions 30 to 506 of the family's 1533-position model. The record is from RNAcentral.